This 207-nucleotide ribosomal RNA is filed under the name uncultured bacterium. RNAcentral describes it as "partial 16S ribosomal RNA". It matches the Rfam family "Bacterial small subunit ribosomal RNA", at positions 568 to 774 of the family's 1533-position model. The record is from RNAcentral.
CACGCAGGCGGUUUGCUCAGUCCUAUGUGAAAGCCCGGGGCUCAACCCCGGAAUUGCAUGGGAUACUGGCAGACUGGAGACUGGUAGAGGCUAGCGGAAUUCCUGGUGUAGCGGUGGAAUGCGUAGAUAUCAGGAAGAACACCUGUGGCGAAGGCGGCUAGCUGGGCCAGAUCUGACGCUCAUGUGCGAAAGCGUGGGGAGCAAACA